CUCAGAACGAACGCUGGCGGCGUGGAUAAGACAUGCAAGUCGAACGGGAGAAUUGCUAGCUUGCUAAUAAUUCUCUAGUGGCGCACGGGUGAGUAACACGUGAGUAACCUGCCUCUUAGUGGGGGAUAGCCCUGGGAAACCGGGAUUAAUACCGCAUACGAUUGAAAGAUCAAAGCAGCAAUGCGCUAGGAGAUGGGCUCGCGGCCUAUUAGUUAGUUGGUGAGGUAACGGCUCACCAAGGCGAUGACGGGUAGCCGGUCUGAGAGGAUGUCCGGCCACACUGGAACUGAGACACGGUCCAGACACCUACGGGUGGCAGCAGUCGAGAAUCAUUCACAAUGGGGGCAACCCUGAUGGUGCGACGCCGCGUGGGGGAAUGAAGGUCUUCGGAUUGUAAACCCCUGUCAUGUGGGAGCAAAUUAAAAAGAUAGUACCACAAGAGGAAGAGACGGCUAACUCUGUGCCAGCAGCCGCGGUAAUACAGAGGUCUCAAGCGUUGUUCGGGAUCACUGGGCGUAAAGCGUGCGUAGGCUGUUUCGUAAGUCGUGUGUGAAAGGCAGGGGCUCAACCCCUGGAUUGCACAUGAUACUGCGAGACUAGAGUAAUGGAGGGGGAACCGGAAUUCUCGGUGUAGCAGUGAAAUGCGUAGAUAUCGAGAGGAACACUCGUGGCGAAGGCGGGUUCCUGGACAUUAACUGACGCUGAGGCACGAAGGCCAGGGGAGCGAAAGGGAUUAGAUACCCCUGUAGUCCUGGCAGUAAACGGUGCACGCUUGGUGUGCGGGGAAUCGACCCCCUGCGUGCCGGAGCUAACGCGUUAAGCGUGCCGCCUGGGGAGUACGGUCGCAAGAUUAAAACUCAAAGAAAUUGACGGGGACCCGCACAAGCGGUGGAGUAUGUGGCUUAAUUCGAUGCAACGCGAAGAACCUUACCUGGGCUUGACAUGUAAUGAACAACAUGUGAAAGCAUGCGACUCUUCGGAGGCGUUACACAGGUGCUGCAUGGCCGUCGUCAGCUCGUGUCGUGAGAUGUUUGGUUAAGUCCAGCAACGAGCGCAACCCCUGUUGCCAGUUACCAGCACGUCAAGGUGGGGACUCUGGCGAGACUGCCCAGAUCAACUGGGAGGAAGGUGGGGACGACGUCAGGUCAGUAUGGCCCUUAUGCCCAGGGCUGCACACGUACUACAAUGCCCAGUACAGAGGGGGCCGAAGCCGCGAGGCGGAGGAAAUCCUGAAAACUGGGCCCAGUUCGGACUGUAGGCUGCAACCCGCCUACACGAAGCCGGAAUCGCUAGUAAUGGCGCAUCAGCUACGGCGCCGUGAAUACGUUCCCGGGUCUUGUACACACCGCCCGUCACAUCAUGGAAGCCGGUCGCACCCGAAGUAUCUGAAGCCAACCGCAAGGAGGCAGGGUCCUAAGGUGAGAC
RNAcentral lists this ribosomal RNA (1425 nucleotides) under uncultured organism. Its description in RNAcentral is "SSU rRNA". It matches the Rfam family "Bacterial small subunit ribosomal RNA". The record is from RNAcentral.